Molecule: ribosomal RNA, 361 nt
Filed under: uncultured Methanosaeta sp.
Lineage: Archaea; Methanobacteriati; Methanobacteriota; Methanomicrobia; Methanotrichales; Methanotrichaceae
Description: bacterial SSU rRNA
Rfam family: Archaeal small subunit ribosomal RNA
Source: RNAcentral
AGCUGAGAGGUGGUGCAUGGCCGUCGUCAGUUCGUACUGUGAAGCAUCCUGUUAAGUCAGGCAACGAGCGAGACCCACGUCCACAGUUGCCAGCAUACCCUCCGGGGUGAUGGGUACACUGUGGAGACCGCCGCUGCUAAAGCGGAGGAAGGAGUGGGCAACGGUAGGUCAGUAUGCCCCGAAUCUCCCGGGCUACACGCGGGCUACAAUGGUUGGUACAAUGGGCAUCUACCCCGAAAGGGGAAGGAAAUCUCUUAAAGCCAAUCGUAGUUCGGAUUGAGGGCUGCAACCCGCCCUCAUGAAGCUGGAAUCCGUAGUAAUCGCGUUUCAACAGAACGCGGUGAAUACGUCCCUGCUCCUU